Molecule: microRNA precursor, 130 nt
Filed under: Chlorocebus sabaeus (green monkey)
Lineage: Eukaryota; Metazoa; Chordata; Mammalia; Primates; Cercopithecidae
Description: miRNA (ENSCSAG00000026630.1)
Source: RNAcentral
GUGGAAAAAUCUCUGGAGUCAGAGGUCUGGGCGCAGCUCUGGACUCUGCGUAUAACAGUGAGUGUCAGGAUUAGGGUGAGAUGGGCCAGAGGAGGGGUGAAGGCCCAAGGCCUAGCUGAUGACAGCUAGC